CUGAAACAAAGAUAGUUCUGUCAAGUCGUAAAGACACCCAAUCAGGAGACACUCAAUCAGAAGAAACCCAAUCUGGCAGAGCGCUCCUACCAGGUGACAUAGUGAGGAUGGGUGUCUGCCUCAAGCUCAAUCUUGACAAGACUGACCUGUUCCUAUUUCGCAGGAAGGCCUGUUUGAUCCAAAACAUGUCCACCAUGGUCGAAAACAGCAUCGUGUCCUCCUCAGAGUGCAAAAAACCAUGGCAUGACCCUCCAUGACACGCUACCGUUGUCUGCUAACAUCGAGACAAUGACUCGCUCCUGCUGGUUCAUGCUCUGUCUACAACAUCCAUAUGGCCUUACCUCACACAGGAAGGUACUUGUCCAGCACUUUUCUUUUCAUUUCAAAAUGACUGCAACUCACCCGUGGUGGGGCUCCCGGCGUGUGCAACCAAACCCCUGCAGCACACUGAGAACGGAGCAGCGCGUCUGGUGUUUCGCUACAACACUGUGGCGAACACCAGGUUGUGUCACCUAGCGCUGUUAAAAGUAUGCACUUACUGUACGUCGCUCCCGAUAUGACGUAUAAAUAACUCAAAUGUAAAAUGUAAAAAUGACGCGAGUCAGCUCAUCAAUGGCACACGACCCGGUAGGCCAGGGAAGACGUCUACCCUGGAGGACCAAAUAAUGCUCACCACAGCGACGAAGGGAAAAAACAACAACCGUCUGACACAUCAGGAGCACUCUCUAGGAGGUAGACAUUGAUGUGUCAGCCACUACCGUUUGCAGAAGAGUUCACCAGCCAAACUGCUGAGGCUGGACUGCAAGGAAGGACAUUCCCAUCGAGCAACAUUCCUCAUUUUAAGUGGGAUCGUCUUGUAAAGUCAAAUUCUUUCAAAUAAACGAUUUUGCCAUCAGAUUUUUCUAGAAAUAUGAAAGACUAAUUGUGUUUAAGAUGUUUUCGACAAAGUAGUAAUUCUAAUGGAAACACUGCAGUACAUAUUGUAACUGAUAUCUAAAAUUAAGGCCAUUUGUAAAAUUGGCAAUGUUCUGAAAGAAAGAGGAUACAGUGACCCGACUGAAUGUGUGACCCAUGGCAGUUAUUUUUUCGUCUAAUGCAGCACUGUUCGGUCCUGUUGACUCACACAGUUCUCUACCUUGUGUCUUCAGUAUGUUCACA
Long non-coding RNA from Esox lucius (northern pike), 1158 nucleotides. Lineage: Eukaryota; Metazoa; Chordata; Actinopteri; Esociformes; Esocidae. The record is from Ensembl.